This 492-nucleotide ribosomal RNA is filed under the name uncultured bacterium. RNAcentral describes it as "partial 16S ribosomal RNA". It matches the Rfam family "Bacterial small subunit ribosomal RNA", at positions 29 to 507 of the family's 1533-position model. The record is from RNAcentral.
AGUGAACGCUGGCGGUAGGCCUAACACAUGCAAGUCGAACGGCAGCACAGUAAGAGCUUGCUCUUACGGGUGGCGAGUGGCGGACGGGUGAGGAAUACAUCGGAAUCUACUUUUUCGUGGGGGAUAACGUAGGGAAACUUACGCUAAUACCGCAUACGACCUACGGGUUAAAGCAGGGGAUCUUCGGGCCUUGCGCGAUUGAUUGAGCCGAUGUCGGAUUAGCUAGUUGGCUGGGUAAAGGCCCACCAAGGCGACGAUCCGUAGCUGGUCUGAGAGGAUGAUCAGCCACACUGGAACUGAGACACGGUCCAGACUCCUACGGGAGGCAGCAGUGGGGAAUAUUGGACAAUGGGCGCAAGCCUGAUCCAGCCAUACCGCGUGGGUGAAGAAGGCCUUCGGGUUGUAAAGCCCUUUUGUUGGGAAAGAAAAGCAGCAGGUUAAUACCCCGCUGUUCUGACGGUACCCAAAGAAUAAGCACCGGCUAACUUCGUG